UGGGGAAUAUUGCACAAUGGGCGCAAGCCUGAUGCAGCGACGCCGCGUGAGGGAUGACGGCCUUCGGGUUGUAAACCUCUUUCAGCAGGGACGAAGCGCAAGUGACGGUACCUGUAGAAGAAGGACCGGCCAACUACGUGCCAGCAGCCGCGGUAAUACGUAGGGUCCGAGCGUUGUCCGGAAUUACUGGGCGUAAAGAGCUCGUAGGUGGUUUGUCGCGUUGUUCGUGAAAACUCACAGCUCAACUGUGGGCGUGCGGGCGAUACGGGCAGACUUGAGUACUGCAGGGGAGACUGGAAUUCCUGGUGUAGCGGUGGAAUGCGCAGAUAUCAGGAGGAACACCGGUGGCGAAGGCGGGUCUCUGGGCAGUAACUGACGCUGAGGAGCGAAAGCGUGGGGAGCGGAACAGGAUUAGAUACCCUGGUAGUCCACGCCGUAAACGGUGGGUACUAGGUGUGGGUUUCCUUCCUUGGGAUCCGUGCCGUAGC
RNAcentral lists this ribosomal RNA (488 nucleotides) under uncultured Actinomycetes bacterium. RNAcentral describes it as "bacterial SSU rRNA". It matches the Rfam family "Bacterial small subunit ribosomal RNA", at positions 355 to 852 of the family's 1533-position model. The record is from RNAcentral. Lineage: Bacteria; Bacillati; Actinomycetota; Actinomycetes.